This 465-nucleotide ribosomal RNA is filed under the name Vreelandella stevensii. Its description in RNAcentral is "partial 16S ribosomal RNA". It matches the Rfam family "Bacterial small subunit ribosomal RNA", at positions 338 to 795 of the family's 1533-position model. Lineage: Bacteria; Pseudomonadati; Pseudomonadota; Gammaproteobacteria; Oceanospirillales; Halomonadaceae. The record is from RNAcentral.
CCUACGGGAGGCUGCAGUGGGGAAUAUUGGACAAUGGGGGGAACCCUGAUCCAGCCAUGCCGCGUGUGUGAAGAAGGCCCUCGGGUUGUAAAGCACUUUCAGUGAGGAAGAACGCCUGGUGGUUAAUACCCAUCAGGAAAGACAUCACUCACAGAAGAAGCACCGGCUAACUCCGUGCCAGCAGCCGCGGUAAUACGGAGGGUGCGAGCGUUAAUCGGAAUUACUGGGCGUAAAGCGCGCGUAGGUGGCUUGAUAAGCCGGUUGUGAAAGCCCCGGGCUCAACCUGGGAACGGCAUCCGGAACUGUCAAGCUAGAGUGCAGGAGAGGUAGGUAGAAUUCCCGGUGUAGCGGUGAAAUGCGUAGAGAUCGGGAGGAAUACCAGUGGCGAAGGCGGCCUUCUGGACUGAUACUGACACUGAGGUGCGAAAGCGUGGGUAGCAAACAGGAUUAGAUACCCCGGUAGUC